RNA transcript from Capra hircus (goat), 2043 nucleotides. It is a transcript of the gene named dermokine, with no coding region annotated. The transcript has 20 exons. The record is from RefSeq and is a predicted model, not a curated record. Lineage: Eukaryota; Metazoa; Chordata; Mammalia; Artiodactyla; Bovidae.
CUAUAAGGAGUAGUGGUGUGGAGGAGGACUUUAGGAAGACAAGGGCAUCUCGGGAGGGAGAGAGCAGGCUGCAGUCCCAGAGGGAGGGCAAACAAGAAGCCAGAAGGAAGGAGAGAAGGGAGAGGGGCCGGCAGACAUCAGGGAAGCGACAGGGCCCGAAAAGGAACCCGGGUGGAAAGAAGACACUCAGGAGAGAGGAAGAGAGGCAGAGAUGAAGCGAAAGGGGUCUCUGGCCUGCCUCCUGCUGUUCCUGCUCCUGGGCAGUGGAGAGGCUAGCCCGAUGCAGAGUGGAGAGACCGACGCUGCAGGAAAAGUUGGGGAAGCCAUUGUACACGGGGUGGGAGAGGGGGUGGGAGAGGCCUUGGGAGAAGCCGCCAUCCAAGGAAUCGAGAAGGCCAUUGGCCAAGGGACUGGAGAGAAAGCGAGCUUGGGAAUCAGGGAGGCCAGGGACCCCCACUUGGGGGAUGCUCUUGCCCACAAGCUUAAGGAAGCGAGCCACGCUCUUAAAAACACUGGGAGCGAGGCCGGCAGACAGGCUGAAAAUAUCAUCGGACACGGAGUGGACCCUGCCCACAGCUCCUGGCAGGGAGUGCCCGGCAGCAACGGAGCUUGGGGAACCAAUGGGCAGCCUCCAUCUGGACACCACGGCAUCCCUGGCUCUCAGGGCAGCUCUGGAGGCCCAGGGGACACCCACGAGCACGUGUUCUCUGGAGGCUCAGGUGGCAGCUUUGGAGCUAAUGCUCAGGGAGGCUCCUGGGGCCAGGGAGGCCACAGAGGGCCAUUCAACCCAGGGGCCAACUCUCAGGGAACUGCGCCCCAACCUGGUUCAGUGAGAAGCAGCAGCAACGGAAAUACGGAAUGCACCACCCCCCCUGGCUCAGGUGGAAGCUCUGGCAACUCUGGGGGAAGCAGCAGCAGUGGCUCCAGCAGUAAUGGCGGCGGCAGCAAUGGCGGCGCCGGCAGCAAUGGCGGCCCCGGCAGUAACAGUGGCGGCAGCAGCAGCUCCGGGUCCAGCUGGGACACUAGAAAUUCUGAUCAUGGUGGCUCCUCCCAGGGAUACAACCCCAACUCCUCCUCGGGGAGCAGAGUUGGAAGUGGUGGCAGAAACAAACCUGAGUGUGACAACCCACAUGUUUCCGGGGGAUCUGGGGGUCAGGGGCAGGGCUCUGGUGGAGAAGGCGAAGCUGUCAGUGGAAUCAACACCUUGAACUCUCAGACAUCUUCUGAGCCCUUCAACUUCGACACUUUCUGGAAGAAUUUUAAAUCCAAGCUGGGCUUCAUUAACUGGGAUGCCUUAAACAAGGGCCAAGCCCCACCCCCCAGCACUCGUGCCCUCCUCUACUUCAGGCGGCUCUGGCAGGAUUUCAAACACAACACUCCUUUCUUGAACUGGAAAGUCAUUACUGAGGGCGAAGACGUGCCAUCGCUUCAGAAGAGGGCAGGUGGGGCUGGCCAGCCUGGCACAGGAUGGCAAGACACAGUAGCUGGGACUGCUAAGAACUACAAUUACAACCAGCAGGGACCUCCUACAGCCCUUGGCGGGCAGUACCCAGUCAAGACCCCCGCUAAGAAUAAUAAAGCCCCUGCCCUCGGGGAGAGGACUUCUGAAAGAUCAGAGACUGCCUGCUGACUGAAAGGAGGUGAAACUGCAGUUGAUACUCCAGGGGGAGUCACGGUUUCUUCCUCGGCUUCCCAGACGCACCCUAGCCUGCUGCAGUGGGUGAAGUUUUGGUAGACAAGCACUUCUGACCACGACUGAGGGCCUGAGAAACAUGGGUCGUCAAGGGACCGGACUGUGCCCGGGCCCCAGCUCUCGGUCUGCGUGCCGACACCUGCCUUUUCUAGCUUGGGGUCCUGCCUGCCUGUCCCUUGUCUCCCCCAUGCACGGUGGUGGUGUCUCUGUGGCCACCAGUCUCAGUGGGUACCCCAGCCGUUUCUUCACCAGCUCCAUUUUGUGUCCUGAAGUCACCGUGACAAAAAUUCAGGAGGAGCGUCCAGCUUUAGUUUCUCUGUGGAAAUAAAACAUGAAUCUUGUAUCCCUAA